Molecule: ribosomal RNA, 448 nt
Filed under: uncultured bacterium
Lineage: Bacteria
Description: partial 16S ribosomal RNA
Rfam family: Bacterial small subunit ribosomal RNA
Source: RNAcentral
CCUACGGGUGGCUGCAGUGGGGAAUAUUGGACAAUGGGGGAAACCCUGAUCCAGCAAUGCCGCGUGUGUGAAGAAGGCCUGCGGGUUGUAAAGCACUUUCGGUUGGGAAGAAAAGUUUGGCGCCAAUACCGCCGAACCUUGACGUUACUGACAGAAGAAGCACCGGCUAACUCUGUGCCAGCAGCCGCGGUAAUACAGCGGGUGCAAGGGGCGUUCGGAGUGCGUGGGCGGAAAGCGAAGGUGGGUGUGAAAUCCCCGGGCUUAACCUGGGAACUGCAUUCGAUACUACAUGGCUAGAGUAUGGUAGAGGGAAGUGGAAUUUCCGGUGUAGCGGUGAAAUGCGUAGAUAUCGGAAGGAACACCAAUGGCGAAGGCAGCUUCCUGGACUAAUACUGACACUGAGGCACGAAAGCGUGGGUAGCAAACAGGAUUAGAUACCCUGGUAGUC